RNAcentral lists this ribosomal RNA (1978 nucleotides) under human metagenome. Its description in RNAcentral is "bacterial LSU rRNA". It matches the Rfam family "Bacterial large subunit ribosomal RNA", at positions 1 to 1979 of the family's 2925-position model. The record is from RNAcentral.
UAAAAUAAUUAAGGGCACACAAAGGAUGCCUAGGUAGUAAGAGCCGAUGAAGGACGUGGUAAGCUGCGAUAAGCCUAGAUAAGUUGCAAUCGAACGUAAGAGUCUAGGAUUUCCGAAUGGAGCAAUCUAUUAAGAUGGAGUCUUAAUACGAAAGAGGGAACCGCGUGAACUGAAACAUCUAAGUAACGCGAGGAAAAGAAAGUAAAAACGAUACCCAAAGUAGCGGCGAGCGAAAUGGGUCAAGCCUAAACCUUAAAUAUGUCAAGGAUACAGCCGUUGUAUUUAAGGGGUUGAGGGACAGAGUGAUGAAGAACUGUAAGAUAUUCAAUAUAGUGUAUUGAUGAAUUAGAAUUGUCUGGAAAGGUGAACCGCAGAAGGUGAAAGUCCUGUAUAAGUAAAUCCUUACACAUAUAACUUUGCUCCCAAGUAACAUGGAACACGAGGAAUUCUGUGUGAAUCUGUGAGGACCAUAUCUCAUAAGGCUAAAUACUCUUACUAACCGAUAGCGCAUAGUACCGUGAGGGAAAGGUGAAAAGAACCCCUGGAGGGGAGUGAAAUAGAACCUGAAAUUGUGUGCUUACAAGCGGUCAGAGCCCAUUUGGGUGAUGGCGUGCCUUUUGGAGAAUGAUCCUGCGAGUUACGUUAAACGGCGAGGUUAAGUAUAACGGAGCCGAAGGGAAACCAAGUCUUAAUAGGGCGAUUUAGUCGUUUGGCGUAGACGCGAAACCUGGUGAUCUAAACCUGUCCAGGAUGAAGCUGUGGUAAGACACAGUGGAGGUCCUAACCCACCGCCGUUGAAAAGUUGGGGGAUGAGGUAGGUUUAGGGGUGAAAAGCCAAUCGAACCAGGAGAUAGCUCGUUCUCUCCGAAAUGCAUCUAGGUGCAGCCUUGAGUGUUCAAUUAUGGGGGUAGAGCACUGAAUGAUCUAGGGGGCAUAUUGCUUACUGAAAUCAAUCAAACUCCGAAUACCAUAAUUUAUAGCUCAGGAGUGAGACUAUGGGAGUUAACUUCCAUUGUCAAAAGGGAAACAACCCAGACCACCAGCUAAGGUCCCUAAUUAUAACUAAGUGGGAAAGGAGGUGGAGAUUCACAAACAACUAGGAGGUUGGCUUAGAAGCAGCCAUACCUUUAAAGAGUGCGUAAUAGCUCACUAGUCGAGAGUCUCUGCGCCGACAAUGUAACGGGGCUAAGUUAUAAACCGAAGCUGUGGAAUCCGUAAGGAUUGGUAGGAGAGCGUUCUGUAGGCCGUUGAAGGAGAAGGGUAACCGACUUUGGAGGUAUCAGAAGUGAGAAUGCAGGAAUAAGUAGCGAGAAAGGGGGCGAGAAUCCCCCUCGCCGGAAGACCAAGGUUUUCAGGGUAAAGCUUGUCUUCCCUGAGUAAGCCGGGACCUAAGCCCAGGCUAUAAUGCGUAGGCGAAUGGAAAACAGAUUAAUAUUUCUGUGCCAGUCAUGUAUUGUGAUGGAGGGACGCAGAAGGGUAUGCGCGCGGACGAACGGAAGUGUCCGUAGAAGUAUGUAGGGUGACUUAGUAGGUAAAUCCAUUAAGUUAUAUCUGAGGUAUGAUAUACAGUCGUAAGAUGAAUGUGCAAAUCCCACGCUGCCAAGAAAAGCUUCUAACGUUAAUAUAUGACUGCCCGUACUGUAAACCGACACAGGUGGUCAGGAUGAGAAAUCUAAGGCGGACAGGCUAACUCUCGUUAAGGAACUCUGCAAAAUAACCUCGUAACUUCGGGAGAAGAGGAGCCCUUGGGUGUUAGUAUCCACGCGAUACAAAGCGCUCGAGGGUCGCAGUGAAGAGGCUCAAGCAACUGUUUAACAAAAACACAGGUCUAUGCUAAGCUGUAAGGCGAUGUAUAUGGGCUGACACCUGCCCAGUGCUGGAAGGUUAAGAGGAGGAGUGAGAGCUCCGAAUUGAAGCCCCAGUGAACGGCGGCCGUAACUAUAACGGUCCUAAGGUAGCGAAAUUCCUUGUCGGGUAA